GCUGGGUGCAGUGGCAUGUGCCUGUAGCCCCAGCUACUCGGGAGGCUGGGGUGGGAGGAUCUCUUGAGCCCAGGAGUUCUGGGCUGUAGUGCGCUAUGCCGAUCGGGUGUCCGCACUAGAUUCGGCAUCAAUAUGGGGACCUCCCAGGAGCGGGGGACCACCAGGUUGCCUAAGGAGGGGGGGACCAGCCCAGGUCAGAAACAGAGCAGAUCAAAACUCCCGUGCUGAUCAGUAGUGGGAUCGCGCCUGUGAAUAGCCACUGCACUCCAGCCUGGGCAACAUAGCAAGACCCCGUCUCU
RNAcentral lists this signal recognition particle RNA (299 nucleotides) under Cebus imitator (Panamanian white-faced capuchin). RNAcentral's name for it is "Metazoan signal recognition particle RNA (ENSCCAG00000003652.1)". It matches the Rfam family "Metazoan signal recognition particle RNA". Rfam says of the family: The signal recognition particle (SRP) is a universally conserved ribonucleoprotein. Lineage: Eukaryota; Metazoa; Chordata; Mammalia; Primates; Cebidae. The record is from RNAcentral.